This is a long non-coding RNA of Mercurialis annua (annual mercury), 409 nucleotides long. RefSeq lists it as uncharacterized. Lineage: Eukaryota; Viridiplantae; Streptophyta; Magnoliopsida; Malpighiales; Euphorbiaceae. The record is from RefSeq and is a predicted model, not a curated record. The transcript has 2 exons.
UUGUUCAAAUAAUGUAGCUCCUUGUUGAUGUUGGGUGUGGCCAUCAUUGUCAUCUGCAUCAACUGGCCCUGAACAAGUACAAUAGAAGCAGGGGCGGAACCACGUUCAGGCUCGGGUAGGCUCGAGCCCGGGCUGCCGUCGGAAUUUCAAAGGUCUGAGGUGUGAGCGAUGACAGUCGGCAUGGAGUUACAGCAGUUCAGCCAUGGAUGCUGGGUGAACAGAGCCUGCCUUAGAAGAAGAUGGAGAAGGAAGACGAAAAGAAUUUUGUUUUUUUAGUUAAAAAGGGCAAAUUUAGCCCUUUUCUUUCUACUUAAAGUGUAUUUGGUCCCUAGCCAUUAGUACUAUCAGGAGCAGAUCAAACGGUUACAAAUAAAAGUUUCAAAAUAAAGCUGCAUAUUGUCGGACCUCA